CCUACGGGAGGCAGCAGUGAGGAAUAUUGGUCAAUGGACGCAAGUCUGAACCAGCCAUGCCGCGUGCAGGAAGACGGCUCUAUGAGUUGUAAACUGCUUUUGUACGAGGGUAAAUCCCGAUACGUGUAUCGGGUUGAAAGUAUCGUACGAAUAAGGAUCGGCUAACUCCGUGCCAGCAGCCGCGGUAAUACGGAGGAUCCAAGCGUUAUCCGGAUUUAUUGGGUUUAAAGGGUGCGUAGGCGGAUUGAUAAGUUAGAGGUGAAAUGUCCGAGCUCAACUCGGGAACUGCCUCUAAUACUGUUGAUCUAGAGAGUAGAUGCGGUAGGCGGAAUGUAUGGUGUAGCGGUGAAAUGCUUAGAGAUCAUACAGAACACCGAUUGCGAAGGCAGCUUACCAAUCUAUAUCUGACGUUGAGGCACGAAAGCGUGGGGAGCAAACAGGAUUAGAUACCCUUGUAGUC
This 460-nucleotide ribosomal RNA is filed under the name uncultured bacterium. Its description in RNAcentral is "partial 16S ribosomal RNA". It matches the Rfam family "Bacterial small subunit ribosomal RNA", at positions 338 to 795 of the family's 1533-position model. The record is from RNAcentral.